RNAcentral lists this non-coding RNA (23 nucleotides) under Arabidopsis thaliana (thale cress). Lineage: Eukaryota; Viridiplantae; Streptophyta; Magnoliopsida; Brassicales; Brassicaceae. The record is from RNAcentral.
CGGAGGACAUUGUCAGGUGGGGA